AGGUGCGGGAGGCGCAGGCCU
This 21-nucleotide unclassified non-coding RNA is filed under the name Chlamydomonas reinhardtii. Its description in RNAcentral is "small RNA Cre_0599". The record is from RNAcentral. Lineage: Eukaryota; Viridiplantae; Chlorophyta; Chlorophyceae; Chlamydomonadales; Chlamydomonadaceae.